UACAGAGGGUGCAAGCGUUAAUCGGAAUUACUGGGCGUAAAGGGUGCGUAGGUGGUUAAUUAAGUCAGAUGUGAAAUCCCAAGGCUUAACCUUGGAAUUGCAUUUGAUACUGGUUAGCUAGAGUACAGAAGAGGGAAGUGGAAUUUCCGGUGUAGCGGUGAAAUGCGUAGAUAUCGGAAGGAACAUCAGUGGCGAAGGCGACUUCCUGGUCUGUUACUGACACUGAGGCACGAAAGCGUGGGGAGCGAACAGG
This 253-nucleotide ribosomal RNA is filed under the name uncultured bacterium. Its description in RNAcentral is "partial 16S ribosomal RNA". It matches the Rfam family "Bacterial small subunit ribosomal RNA", at positions 524 to 776 of the family's 1533-position model. The record is from RNAcentral.